UGCGGCUAAUAAACGACUACAC
RNAcentral lists this non-coding RNA (22 nucleotides) under Arabidopsis thaliana (thale cress). The record is from RNAcentral. Lineage: Eukaryota; Viridiplantae; Streptophyta; Magnoliopsida; Brassicales; Brassicaceae.